AUCCUGGCUCAGCGCGAACGCUGGCGGCAUGGCUAAAACAUGCAAGUCGAACGCGAAAGCGGCUUCGGCCGUGAGUAGAGUGGCGAAAGGGCGAGUAACGCGUCUUUUACGUACCCUCAGGUGCGGGAUAGCUCAGGGAAACUUGGGAUAAUACCGCAUAAUCCGGCAACGGCAAAGGUUUACUGCCUGAGGCUCGGAAGACGUCCUAUCAGCUAGUUGGUGAGGUAAAGGCUCACCAAGGCGAAGACGGGUAGCCGGUGUGAGAGCACGACCGGCCGCAUCGGGACUGAGACACUGCCCGGACUCCUACGGGAGGCUGCAGUAACGAAUAUUCCACAAUGCGCGAAAGCGUGAUGGAGCAAUGCCGCGUGUAGGAUGAAGCCUCUAGGGGUGUAAACUACUGUCAGGACCCAGGAAGAUCUGACCGGGUCCAGAGGAAGGGCCGGCUAACUUCGUGCCAGCAGCCGCGGUAAUACGAAGGGCCCGAGCGUUGCGCGGAAUCACUGGGCUUAAAGCGUACGUAGGCGGAUUGGCAAGUACCUUGUGAAAUCCCAGGGCUCAACCCUGGAACUGCUCGGUAAACUGCCAGUCUUGAGCUAGACAGAGGUCGUCGGAACGAUAGGUGGAGCGGUGAAAUGCGUAGAUAUCUAUCGGAACGCCAAAGGUGAAGACAGGCGACUGGGUCUAAGCUGACGCUCAGGUACGAAAGCAUGGGUAGCGAACGGGAUUAGAUACCCCGGUAGUCCAUGCCGUAAACGAUGUGCACUAGAUCGAGGAGGUUUUGACACCAUCUCGGUCGAAGUCAAAGCGUUAAGUGCACCGCCUGGGGAGUACGGUCGCAAGGCUAAAACUCAAAGGAAUUGACGGGGGCUCACACAAGCGGUGGAGCAUGUGGCUUAAUUCGAAGCUACGCGAAGAACCUUAUCCAGGGUUUGACAUGCACGGAUUAUUGAUCCGAAAGGUGAUAGACACUCUUUGAGUGGAACGUGCACAGGUGCUGCAUGGCUGUCGUCAGCUCGUGCUGUGAAGUGUCGGGUUAAGUCCCUUAACGAGCGAAACCCCUGUCGUUAGUUGCUAGCAGGUUAUGCUGAGGACUCUAACGAGACUGCCGGUGUCAAACCGGAGGAAGGUGGGGACGACGUCAAGUCAUCAUGGCCUUUAUGCCCUGGGCUGCACACGUGCUACAAUGGCGUGGACAGACCGAAGCAAUACCGUAAGGUGGAGCAAAUCGGAAAAACCACGCCCCAGUUCGGAUUGUGGUCUGCAACUCGACCACAUGAAGGUGGAAUCGCUAGUAAUCGCGUAUCCGCAAUGACGCGGUGAUACGUUCCUGAGCCUUGUACACACCGCCCGUCACGUCAUGGAAGCUGGGAGCACCCAGAAGUCGCCUCGCCUCAGAGGUGCCUACGG
Molecule: ribosomal RNA, 1410 nt
Filed under: uncultured organism
Description: bacterial SSU rRNA
Rfam family: Bacterial small subunit ribosomal RNA
Source: RNAcentral